ACUUAACCCCACCACAAUCUCCACCACAUCCUCUCUCUUCCACUACUAUUACCCCCUCAACCCAAAUAUACACUAAAAACCAAAAACUAAAGUAGAAAAAUCUUUGCUAUGUUGAAUUAUCAAACACCUCAUACCCUAGUAAACACUACUACCACCACCACCAAUUACAACACCAACACUACAACAGAAAAUCAUCAAGAAGAUGAACAACAAAUCAGAGAUAUACAUGCUUUAACCCCACCAAGACCUCCAUCAAAUAGUGGCCGUCGAAUCGAAACUUGGGAAACAAGUAGCCAUAGAUCAUCAUCAAUUUCCGAAGUAGCAUCUAGUGAGAAUUUCUCUACUAUGAGCCGGGAGUUCAGCGCCCUCGUUCUCGCGGGAUCGUCAGUUAGCAACAAUCCCGCUAGCGAGAACGAGGUGAAUAAUCAUAUAUAUAAUAACAACAAUUAUAAUAGCAAUAAUUUGGGGAGCAUCGGCGAAGAAGAAAAUGAUGCGCCGAUAGAAGAAACAAAUCCGUUAGCUAUUGUGCCGGAUAAUUAUAGUAAUACUUUAGAUCCGAUUAUUGUUAAUCCUUCAAGAAGGAUUAAUAAUAAUAAUAAUAAUAA
This 605-nucleotide unclassified non-coding RNA is filed under the name Hevea brasiliensis (rubber tree). The record is from RNAcentral. Lineage: Eukaryota; Viridiplantae; Streptophyta; Magnoliopsida; Malpighiales; Euphorbiaceae.